CAAGCAUGGUCUCUCCAGAUUUCAAAUUGGAUGGUUCACCUCCCUAUAAUGUACCACUUUUGGUACAGACAUCUUGUUGUCCUAUGAAAUGUUGCUGAAAGAAAUCAAAUAAGAUAGAAAUAAAUGGUAAAACAUUCCAUGUUUAUGGAUUGGAAGACUCAAUGUUGUUAAAAUGUCCCUACUACCCAAAGUUAUCUGCAGGUUCAAUGCAGUCCCUAUCAAGAUC
This 226-nucleotide long non-coding RNA is filed under the name Pan troglodytes (chimpanzee). RNAcentral describes it as "long non-coding RNA NONPTRT003175". The record is from RNAcentral. Lineage: Eukaryota; Metazoa; Chordata; Mammalia; Primates; Hominidae.